This 253-nucleotide ribosomal RNA is filed under the name uncultured bacterium. RNAcentral's name for it is "partial 16S ribosomal RNA". It matches the Rfam family "Bacterial small subunit ribosomal RNA", at positions 524 to 776 of the family's 1533-position model. The record is from RNAcentral.
UACGUAGGGCGCAAGCGUUGUCCGGAAUUAUUGGGCGUAAAGAGCUCGUAGGCGGUCUGUCGCGUCUGGUGUGAAAUCUCAUGGCUCAACUGUGAGCUUGCACCGGGUACGGGCAGACUAGAGUGCUGUAGGGGAGACUGGAAUUCCUGGUGUAGCGGUGGAAUGCGCAGAUAUCAGGAGGAACACCGAUGGCGAAGGCAGGUCUCUGGGCAGUUACUGACGCUGAGGAGCGAAAGCAUGGGGAGCGAACAGG